RNAcentral lists this transfer RNA (71 nucleotides) under Loxodonta africana (African savanna elephant). It matches the Rfam family "tRNA". Rfam says of the family: Transfer RNA (tRNA) molecules are approximately 80 nucleotides in length. Their secondary structure includes four short double-helical elements and three loops (D, anti-codon, and T loops). Further hydrogen bonds mediate the characteristic L-shaped molecular structure. tRNAs have two regions of fundamental functional importance: the anti-codon, which is responsible for specific mRNA codon recognition, and the 3' end, to which the tRNAs corresponding amino acid is attached (by aminoacyl-tRNA synthetases). tRNAs cope with the degeneracy of the genetic code in two manners: having more than one tRNA (with a specific anti-codon) for a particular amino acid; and 'wobble' base-pairing, i.e. permitting non-standard base-pairing at the 3rd anti-codon position. Lineage: Eukaryota; Metazoa; Chordata; Mammalia; Proboscidea; Elephantidae. The record is from Rfam by way of RNAcentral.
GCAGUGGUGGUUCCAUGGUAGAAUUCCUGCCUUCCACGCAGAAGAUCCAGGUGCGAUUUCUGGCCAACGCA